AAAAACAUUUGGUUGAAUGAGUUAGUGUUUGAUAAAAUAGUGUGAUGAUGAGAGAUAAUUUAAGAAAGAAUUUAUUUGCUUAACGUAUUUGAGUUUUAUGUUAAACACUAAACUAAAAUAAAUGAGUGAGAAAGUCUGAUUUGGAAUAAAUUAUAAGAAAAAUUGCUUAAACUACCAUUUUUCUAAUACAUGAUUUUAUGUUUACCUUAACCAAAUUUAUCUUUAGUUUUAAAGAGGUAGAUUCUACUAUAUAUUAAUUGAGAAGAUUAAGUUUUUAAAAAUAGUUAUAAUUUGAUUAGUUGUUAACAUUUAUUAGUUAUUAUUUUAAUCAGAUCUAAAAAUAAAAAGUACUUCUAGAACUAAUUAAUGCAAAUUACCAAAUAAUGCAAAUGAUAUUACAAAUAAU
Molecule: long non-coding RNA, 406 nt
Filed under: Brassica napus (rape)
Lineage: Eukaryota; Viridiplantae; Streptophyta; Magnoliopsida; Brassicales; Brassicaceae
Description: long non-coding RNA (BNAP_LNC009771)
Source: RNAcentral